ACCGGCGCACGGGUGAGUAACACGUAUCCAACCUGCCGUCUACUCUUGGACAGCCUUCUGAAAGGAAGAUUAAUACAAGAUGGCAUCAUGAGUCCGCAUGUUCACGUGAUUAAAGGUAUUCCGGUAGACGAUGGGGAUGCGUUCCAUUAGAUAGUAGGCGGGGUAACGGCCCACCUAGUCUUCGAUGGAUAGGGGUUCUGAGAGGAAGGUCCCCCACAUUGGAACUGAGACACGGUCCAAACUCCUACGGAGGCAGCAUG
RNAcentral lists this ribosomal RNA (260 nucleotides) under uncultured bacterium. RNAcentral's name for it is "partial 16S ribosomal RNA". It matches the Rfam family "Bacterial small subunit ribosomal RNA", at positions 94 to 353 of the family's 1533-position model. The record is from RNAcentral.